CCUACGGGUGGCAGCAGUGAGGAAUAUUGGUCAAUGGACGCGAGUCUGAACCAGCCAAGUAGCGUGAAGGAUGACUGCCCUAUGAGUUGUAAACUUCUUUUAUAUAGGAAUAAAGUGAGGUACGUGUGCCUUUUUGUAAGUACUUUAUGAAUAAGGAUCGGCUAACUCCGUGCCAGCAGCCGCGGUAAUACGGAGGAUCCGAGCGUUAUCCGGAUUUAUUGGGUUUAAAGGGUGCGUAGGUGGGUUGUUAAGUCAGUUGUGAAAGUUUGCGGCUCAACCCUAAAAUUGCAGUUGAUACUGGCAGUCUUGAGUACAGUUGAGGUAGGCGGAAUGCGUGGUGUAGCGGUGAAAUGCUUAGAUAUCACGAAGAACUCCGAUUGCGAAGGCAGCUUACUAAACUACAACUGACAUUGAUGCUCGAAAGUGUGGGUAUCAAACAGGAUUAGAUACCCGAGUAGUC
Molecule: ribosomal RNA, 460 nt
Filed under: uncultured bacterium
Lineage: Bacteria
Description: partial 16S ribosomal RNA
Rfam family: Bacterial small subunit ribosomal RNA
Source: RNAcentral